UUAGAGCGCACGCCUGAUAAGCGUGAGGUCGAUGGUUCAAGUCCAUUUAGGCCCAUUUCUAUAACAACAUGGGGGAUUAGCUCAGAUGGGAGAGCGCCUGCUUUGCACGCAGGAGGUCAUCGGUUCGAUCCCGUUAUCCUCCAUUGACAACGCAAGUUGUCGUAACUUUGUACUUUGAAAACUGAAUACUCUAUUUUAUUUUCUUGUUUUAAAAACCGAGAAAAACACCGCGUUUUAAAGAGUUUUAAGAGAAUUAACAACGCUAAACUCAUUAACCGAUACCGUAGGUAUCAUAGGUUAAGUUAUAAAGGGCGUACGGUGGAUGCCUUGGCACUAGGAGCCGAUGAAGGACGGAACUAAUACCGAUAUGCUUCGGGGAGCUAUACGUAAGCUUUGAUCCGAAGAUUUCCGAAUGGGGGAACCCAGCCAACUUAGUCGUUGGUUACUGUAUUGUGAAUACAUAGCAAUAUAGAGGUAGACGUGGGGAACUGAAACAUCUCAGUACCCACAGGAAUAGAAAGAAAAAUCGAUUCCCUAAGUAGCGGCGAGCGAACGGGGAACAGCCCAAACCAAGAAGCUUGCUUCUUGGGGUUGUAGGACUGGCCUUUGGAGUUACCAAAGUCAGUGGUAGUCGAAGCAGUUGGAACGCUGCAUCAAAGAGGGUGAAAAUCCCGUAGACAAAACCACUGGCCCUCCGGCCAGGAUCCUGAGUACGGCGGAACACGUGAAAUUCCGUCGGAAUCCGGGAGGACCAUCUCCCAAGGCUAAAUACUCCCUAGUGACCGAUAGUGAACCA
RNAcentral lists this small RNA (796 nucleotides) under Loigolactobacillus bifermentans. RNAcentral describes it as "bacterial LSU rRNA". The stretch from base 296 to 796 matches the Rfam family "Bacterial large subunit ribosomal RNA", at positions 1 to 497 of the family's 2925-position model. The record is from RNAcentral. Lineage: Bacteria; Bacillati; Bacillota; Bacilli; Lactobacillales; Lactobacillaceae.